CGACAAUGUCAUGUUUAAACACCGGUUCCUGUACGAUCUCUGAAGUUAAGCAACGUAGAGCUUAGUGAGUACCUAGAUGAGUGAUCCCUUAGGAAUACCAAGUGCAGUA
Non-coding RNA from Acanthosepion pharaonis, 109 nucleotides. The record is from the annotation of a GenBank genome assembly. NCBI's taxonomy places the organism in Eukaryota, Metazoa, Mollusca, Cephalopoda, Sepiida, Sepiidae.